AGAAAGAGAGAGAGAGAGAGAGAGAGAGAGAGAGAGAGAGAGAGAGAGAGAAAGAGUGUGUGUGUGUUUAAGGGGAAAGAGUAUGAAUGUAUGUAUGCAUGUAUAAAUGCAUGUAUGCAUAUAUGUCUGUAUGCAUCUGUGUAUGAAUAUAUGUGUGAAUGUAUGUAUGAAUGAAUAUAUGUAUGUGCGUAUGAUGAAUGUAUAUAUGCAUAUAUGUCUAUGCAUGUGUGUAUGUAUGUAUGCAUGUAUGUAUGAAUGUAUGCAUGUAUGUAUGAAUGAAUAUAUGUAUGUAUGAUGUAUGUGUGUAUGAUAUAUAUAUGUAUGAAUGAUGUAUGUAUGCAUGCAUACAUGCAUGCAUGCAUGACGGGCUUCUCUCCUUCCUUUCCAUGGGUUCCAGGUAUCAAAC
This 406-nucleotide long non-coding RNA is filed under the name Rattus norvegicus (Norway rat). Its description in RNAcentral is "long non-coding RNA NONRATT019972". The record is from RNAcentral. Lineage: Eukaryota; Metazoa; Chordata; Mammalia; Rodentia; Muridae.